UCGCGGCCUAUCAGCUUGUUGGUGAGGUAAUGGCUCACCAAGGCGACGACGGGUAGCCGGCCUGAGAGGGUGACCGGCCACACUGGGACUGAGACACGGCCCAGACUCCUACGGGAGGCAGCAGUGGGGAAUAUUGCACAAUGGGCGAAAGCCUGAUGCAGCGACGCCGCGUGAGGGAUGACGGCCUUCGGGUUGUAAACCUCUUUCAGUAGGGAAGAAGCGAAAGUGACGGUACCUGCAGAAGAAGCGCCGGCUAACUACGUGCCAGCAGCCGCGGUAAUACGUAGGGCGCAAGCGUUAUCCGGAAUUAUUGGGCGUAAAGAGCUCGUAGGCGGUUUGUCGCGUCUAUCGUGAAAGUCCGAGGCUCAACCUCGGAUCUGCGGUGGGUACGGGCAGACUAGAGUGAUGUAGGGGAGACUGGAAUUCCUGGUGUAGCGGUGAAAUGCGCAGAUAUCAGGAGGAACACCGAUGGCGAAGGCAGGUCUCUGGGCAUUAACUGACGCUGAGGAGCGAAGGCAUGGGGAGCGAACAGGAUUAGAUACCCUGGUAGUCCAUGCCGUAAACGUUGGGCACUAGGUGUGGGGGACAUUCCACGUUUUCCGCGCCGUAGCUAACGCAUUAAGUGCCCCGCCUGGGGAGUACGGCCGCAAGGCUAAAACUCAAAGGGAUUGACGGGGGCCCGCACAAGCGGCGGAGCAUGCGGAUUAAUUCGAUGCAACGCGAAGAACCUUACCAAGGCUUGACAUGUGCCAGACCGCCGUGAAAACACGGUUUCCCCUUUGGGGCUGGUUCACAGGUGGUGCAUGGUUGUCGUCAGCUCGUGUCGUGAGAUGUUGGGUUAAGUCCCGCAACGAGCGCAACCCUCGUUCUAUGUUGCCAGCACGUGAUGGUGGGGACUCAUAGGAGACUGCCGGGGUCAACUCGGAGGAAGGUGGGGACGACGUCAAAUCAUCAUGCCCCUUAUGUCUUGGGCUUCACGCAUGCUACAAUGGCCGGUACAAUGGGUUGCGAUACUGUGAGGUGGAGCUAAUCCCA
Molecule: ribosomal RNA, 1035 nt
Filed under: uncultured Actinomycetes bacterium
Lineage: Bacteria; Bacillati; Actinomycetota; Actinomycetes
Description: bacterial SSU rRNA
Rfam family: Bacterial small subunit ribosomal RNA
Source: RNAcentral